ACCAAGUUCAAAGCGUUGCUUCGGUUUGUCAGUUCAAGCAAGAAAACGUCCUUACCGAAGAGAUCUGGGUGCUAAAACAAACUCUGGAGCUCUUUUUUUCUGUUGAACACAAGUGAGACGACUCUGAACACACCUGCGGCGUGAAGGUUUACUUGUUCAGCUGCUGCAGCCUGGACAGAAACACCACAUUCCUAAAGGUGUGAUGAUUUUUCACCACUUUGUCCAUGAUCACAGAGAGUCUUCGUACAGUGAAGUAGUUCUCUGAAACCAGGACUGAGGCCUCCAGGUUUACUUGUUCAGCUGCUGCAGCCUGGACAGAAACACCACAUUCCUAAAGGUGUGAUGAUUUUUCACCACUUUGUCCAUGAUCACAGAGAGUCUUCGUACAGUGAAGUAGUUCUCUGAAACCAGGACUGAGGCCUCCAGGUUUACUUGUUCAGCUGCUGCAGCCUGGACAGAAACACCACAUUCCUAAAGGUGUGAUGAUUUUUCACCACUUUGUCCAUGAUCACAGAGAGUCUUCGUACAGUGAAGUAGUUCUCUGAAACCAGGACUGAGGCCUCCAGGAUUCAAACUUUAAAUCACAGAAAGACAAGACAGACUUGAAGACAUUUCCAGAAGGUCAGUGUUUUUGUCAGUUUAUUUUUUUCAGUCUGACUCUGUCAUUACCUCAGCUGCAGUUUGACACAUUAAAGCUGCUGUAACUUUUCAGUUUUAAUUAGUAUUUAGUAUUAUUCAACAAUGUUGAAUAAAACAAUGUUGUUUUUAAACAGAAAAUAUAAA
This is a long non-coding RNA of Lates calcarifer (barramundi perch), 783 nucleotides long. RefSeq lists it as uncharacterized. NCBI's taxonomy places the organism in Eukaryota, Metazoa, Chordata, Actinopteri, Centropomidae. The record is from RefSeq and is a predicted model, not a curated record. The transcript is spliced from 5 exons.